ACUAGAUAAACCAAUUGGGC
This 20-nucleotide small nuclear RNA is filed under the name Arabidopsis thaliana (thale cress). RNAcentral describes it as "snRNA_16264". The record is from RNAcentral. Lineage: Eukaryota; Viridiplantae; Streptophyta; Magnoliopsida; Brassicales; Brassicaceae.